UGGGACAUUUUUGAUGCGCCUAGCCCACUGUAGUAAUACAUGUGAGUGCUGGUGUGCGUCUCCCAUCCAUUUUAGUUGUCGGUACUACCCUUCAUUGGGCCGGUACGUCUUGUUUAUGACUAAAUCUUUUACUUUGAAAAAAUUAGAGUGUUUAAAGCAGGCUUGUGCCUAUUUGUGAAUACAUUAGCAUGGAAUAAUAAUUUAGGACUUCGGUUCUAUUUUGUUGGUUUCUGGGACUGAAGUAAUGAUUGAUAGGGAUAGUUGGGGGUGCUAGUAUUCAGUGGCCAGAGGUGAAAUUCUUGGAUUCACUGAAGACUAACUUUUGCGAAAGCAUU
This 335-nucleotide ribosomal RNA is filed under the name Allapsidae sp. RNAcentral describes it as "SSU rRNA". It matches the Rfam family "Eukaryotic small subunit ribosomal RNA", at positions 624 to 955 of the family's 1831-position model. The record is from RNAcentral. Lineage: Eukaryota; Cercozoa; Glissomonadida; Viridiraptoridae.